GCGGAGGAAAAGAAACCAACAGGGAUUGCCUUAGUAACGGCGAGUGAAGCGGCAAYAGCUCAAAUUUGAAAGCUGGCCCCUUCGGGGUCCGCGUUGUAAUUUGUAGAGGAUGGUUCGGCGAGGGCUCCCGUCUAAGUCCCUUGGAACAGGGCGUCAUAGAGGGUGAGAAUCCCGUAUGCGAUGGGCUGCCUUAGCCAUGUGAACCUCCUUCGACGAGUCGAGUUGUUUGGGAAUGCAGCUCUAAAUGGGAGGUAAAUUUCUUCUAAAGCUAAAUACCGGCCAGAGACCGAUAGCGCACAAGUAGAGUGAUCGAAAGAUGAAAAGCACUUUGGAAAGAGAGUUAAAAAGUACGUGAAAUUGUUGAAAGGGAAGCGCUUGCAGCCAGACUUGUCCGCAGUUGCUCAGCCUGUCUCCUGACAGGCGCACUCUUCUGCGGCCAGGCCAGCAUCAGUUCGGGCGGUCGGAUAAAGACUCGGGGAAUGUAGCUCCUCUCGGGGAGUGUUAUAGCCCCGGGUGCAAUGCGGCCAGCCUGGACUGAGGAU
Molecule: ribosomal RNA, 542 nt
Filed under: Neofusicoccum sp. f210
Lineage: Eukaryota; Fungi; Ascomycota; Dothideomycetes; Botryosphaeriales; Botryosphaeriaceae
Description: eukaryotic LSU rRNA
Rfam family: Eukaryotic large subunit ribosomal RNA
Source: RNAcentral